GCGGCGUGCUAUACAUGCAAGUCGAGCGAACAGACGAGGAGCUUGCUCCUCUGACGUUAGCGGCGGACGGGUGAGUAACACGUGGAUAACCUACCUAUAAGACUGGGAUAACUUCGGGAAACCGGAGCUAAUACCGGAUAAUAUAUUGAACCGCAUGGUUCAAUAGUGAAAGACGGUUUUGCUGUCACUUAUAGAUGGAUCCGCGCCGCAUUAGCUAGUUGGUAAGGUAACGGCUUACCAAGGCAACGAUGCGUAGCCGACCUGAGAGGGUGAUCGGCCACACUGGAACUGAGACACGGUCCAGACUCCUACGGGAGGCAGCAGUAGGGAAUCUUCCGCAAUGGGCGAAAGCCUGACGGAGCAACGCCGCGUGAGUGAUGAAGGUCUUCGGAUCGUAAAACUCUGUUAUUAGGGAAGAACAAAUGUGUAAGUAACUAUGCACGUCUUGACGGUACCUAAUCAGAAAGCCACGGCUAACUACGUGCCAGCAGCCGCGGUAAUACGUAGGUGGCAAGCGUUAUCCGGAAUUAUUGGGCGUAAAGCGCGCGUAGGCGGUUUUUUAAGUCUGAUGUGAAAGCCCACGGCUCAACCGUGGAGGGUCAUUGGAAACUGGAAAACUUGAGUGCAGAAGAGGAAAGUGGAAUUCCAUGUGUAGCGGUGAAAUGCGCAGAGAUAUGGAGGAACACCAGUGGCGAAGGCGACUUUCUGGUCUGUAACUGACGCUGAUGUGCGAAAGCGUGGGGAUCAAACAGGAUUAGAUACCCUGGUAGUCCACGCCGUAAACGAUGAGUGCUAAGUGUUAGGGGGUUUCCGCCCCUUAGUGCUGCAGCUAACGCAUUAAGCACUCCGCCUGGGGAGUACGACCGCAAGGUUGAAACUCAAGGAAAUUGACGGGGACCCGCACAAGCGGUGGAGCAUGUGGUUUAAUUCGAAGCAACGCGAAGAACCUUACCAAAUCUUGACAUCCUCUGACCCCUCUAGAGAUAGAGUUUUCCCCUUCGGGGGACAGAGUGACAGGUGGUGCAUG
This 1027-nucleotide ribosomal RNA is filed under the name Staphylococcus sp. EP_L_99. RNAcentral describes it as "bacterial SSU rRNA". It matches the Rfam family "Bacterial small subunit ribosomal RNA", at positions 39 to 1047 of the family's 1533-position model. Lineage: Bacteria; Bacillati; Bacillota; Bacilli; Caryophanales; Staphylococcaceae. The record is from RNAcentral.